GACGAACGCUGGCGGCGUGCUUAACACAUGCAAGUCGAACGGAAAGGCCCUGCUUUUGUGGGGUGCUCGAGUGGCGAACGGGUGAGUAACACGUGAGUAACCUGCCCUUGACUUUGGGAUAACUUCAGGAAACUGGGGCUAAUACCGGAUAGGAGCUCCUGCUGCAUGGUGGGGGUUGGAAAGUUUCGGCGGUUGGGGAUGGACUCGCGGCUUAUCAGCUUGUUGGUGGGGUAGUGGCUUACCAAGGCUUUGACGGGUAGCCGGCCUGAGAGGGUGACCGGCCACAUUGGGAAUGAGAUACGGCCCAGACUCCUACGGGAGGCAGGAGUGGGGAAUAUUGCAAAAUGGGCGGAAGCCUGAUGCAGCAACGCCGGGUGGGGGAUGACGGCCUUUGGGGUGUAAACCGCUUUCGCCUGUGACGAAGCGUGAGUGACGGUAAUGGGUAAAGAAGCAACGGCUAAAUAAGUG
This 468-nucleotide ribosomal RNA is filed under the name uncultured bacterium. RNAcentral's name for it is "partial 16S ribosomal RNA". It matches the Rfam family "Bacterial small subunit ribosomal RNA", at positions 28 to 507 of the family's 1533-position model. The record is from RNAcentral.